RNAcentral lists this ribozyme (117 nucleotides) under Aedes aegypti (yellow fever mosquito). Its description in RNAcentral is "drz-agam-1 ribozyme". It matches the Rfam family "drz-agam-1 ribozyme". Lineage: Eukaryota; Metazoa; Arthropoda; Insecta; Diptera; Culicidae. The record is from Rfam by way of RNAcentral.
UGCCCAGCAACUCCUAUUCCUACCUCCUCGCGGUACUGGCCGGGGUACGAGUAACCUUAGGGAAGAUCGGGUAACCAAACCUCGGUGGGAACUUUGGUAGUAUGCUGACAGGGAAGG